Ribosomal RNA from Danio rerio (zebrafish), 123 nucleotides. NCBI's taxonomy places the organism in Eukaryota, Metazoa, Chordata, Actinopteri, Cypriniformes, Danionidae. The record is from Ensembl.
UCCUACAGCCAUAUCAACCUUCAGCCCAAGACCAAAGUUGCGUACUGAAGCUAAGCAUGCAGGUCUGAGCCUGGUUAGUACCUGGAUGGGAGGCCACAUAGGGAAACUAGAUUGUUGUUAGGU